GACAGAGGGUGCAACCGUUGCUCGGAAUCACUGGGCGUAAAGGGCGUGUAGGCGGAUCUGUAAGUCGGGCGUGAAAUCCCUGGGCUCAACCCAGGAACUGCACUCGAAACUGCGGGUCUUGAGUGCCGGAGAGGAAAGCGGAAUACCUGGUGUAGAGGUGAAAUUCGUAGAUAUCAGGUGGAACACCAGUGGCGAAGGCGGCUUUCUGGACGGUAACUGACGCUGAGACGCGAAAGCGUGGGGAGCAAACAGG
RNAcentral lists this ribosomal RNA (253 nucleotides) under uncultured bacterium. RNAcentral's name for it is "partial 16S ribosomal RNA". It matches the Rfam family "Bacterial small subunit ribosomal RNA", at positions 524 to 776 of the family's 1533-position model. The record is from RNAcentral.